CCUACGGGUGGCAGCAGUGAGGAAUAUUGGUCAAUGGGCGGAAGUCUGAACCAGCCAUGCCGCGUGCAGGAAGACGGCUCUAUGAGUUUUAACCUGCUUUUGUACAAGGGUAAACCUGAAUACGUGUAUUCAGCUGAAAGUACUGUACGAAUAAAGAUCGGCUAACUCCGUGCCAGCAGCCGCGGUAAUACGGAGGAUCCAAUCGUUAUCCGGAUUUAUUGGGUUUAAAGGGUGCGUAGGAGGCUUGAUAAGUUAGAGGUGAAAUGUCCGAGCUUAACUCGGGAACUGCCUUUAAUACUGUUGAUCUAGAGUGUAGAUGUGGUAGGCGGAAUGUAUGGUGUAGCGGUGAAAUGCUUAGAUAUCAUACAGAACACCGAGUGCGAAGGCAGCUUACCAAUCUAUAUCUGACGUUGAGGCACGAAAGCGUGGGGAGCAAACAGGAUUAGAUACCCCUGUAGUC
This 460-nucleotide ribosomal RNA is filed under the name uncultured bacterium. RNAcentral describes it as "partial 16S ribosomal RNA". It matches the Rfam family "Bacterial small subunit ribosomal RNA", at positions 338 to 795 of the family's 1533-position model. The record is from RNAcentral.